This is a long non-coding RNA of Hyposmocoma kahamanoa, 315 nucleotides long. RefSeq lists it as uncharacterized. The record is from RefSeq and is a predicted model, not a curated record. The transcript has 3 exons. NCBI's taxonomy places the organism in Eukaryota, Metazoa, Arthropoda, Insecta, Lepidoptera, Cosmopterigidae.
UUAUUAUUAUUAUUUUAUUUAGUAUAUACAGUGACCCUUCAUCUAUUAAGCCGGUUCUAACUCACUAGCGCGUUGUAACCGUAACCGCAUGUUGCAUGUUACGUUACCAAAAAUCACAGUGUGUACGUGGUACGCGAACUUGUCGCGAACGGAACACGUGCUGUUCGCAGUGAGCCGACGAUAACCAGGACGACAACGAUCACUGCACCCAUACAUCGCUACGUGCUCGUCUGCGUUACCAAGGACGACCCUCUGCCCUUUGUGCACAAGUGCGAGUUCGUGCGAGCUAAUCGAACUCGGGACUACCCAUUUCCA